RNAcentral lists this ribosomal RNA (443 nucleotides) under uncultured bacterium. RNAcentral's name for it is "bacterial SSU rRNA". It matches the Rfam family "Bacterial small subunit ribosomal RNA", at positions 16 to 450 of the family's 1533-position model. The record is from RNAcentral.
AUCCUGGCUCAGAUUGAACGCUAGCGGGAUGCUUUACACAUGCAAGUCGAACGGCAGCGCGAGUUAACCUUGCUUAACUUUGGCGGCGAGUGGCGAACGGGUGAGUAAUGUAUCGGAACGUGCCCAGUAGCGGGGCGAUAACUACGCGAAACCGUGGCUAAUACCGCAUACGCCCUACGGGGGAAAGGGGGGGAUCGCAAGACCUCUCACUAUUGGAGCGGCCGAUAUCGGAUUAGCUGGUUGGUGGGGUAAAGGCCUACCAAGGCGACGAUCCGUAGCUGGUUUGAGAGGACGACCAGCCACUCUGGGACUGAGACACGGCCCAGACUCCUACGGCAGGCAGCAGUGGGGAAUUUAGGACAAUGGGGGCAACCCUGAUCCAGCCAUCCCGCGUGUGCGAUGAAGCGCCUUCGGGUUGUUAAGCACUUUUGGCAGGGAAGAAA